RNAcentral lists this unclassified non-coding RNA (3449 nucleotides) under Helicoverpa zea (corn earworm). RNAcentral describes it as "aP-1 complex subunit sigma-2, transcript variant X1". The record is from RNAcentral. Lineage: Eukaryota; Metazoa; Arthropoda; Insecta; Lepidoptera; Noctuidae.
UUGAGUUUGACAGAUGUGUGUGUGACGUCAUAAUAUUGAUCAUGUCGUCACGUCAGCCAUAAUUUUAUAAUUAUUUUAACAAAUUCGUGCAAAAUAUGUGAUGAAAACAUUUUAUAGCAACGCAUAACUAGUAAACAUUCCUUCUUACAUUUAGUCUGUGACUUAGCUAUAACAUAUAAAGAUGAUGCAAUUCAUGUUACUAUUCAGCCGGCAAGGCAAACUAAGACUGCAGAAAUGGUACGUCGCACACCCGGACAAGCUGAAGAAGAAGAUCACUCGGGAACUGAUCACCACAGUGUUGGCCAGGAAGCCCAAGAUGUGUUCAUUCUUGGAGUGGAAAGAUGUCAAAAUCGUUUACAAAAGAUAUGCAUCUCUAUAUUUCUGCUGUGCGAUGGAGCAGGAGGACAAUGAACUCCUCACUCUGGAGCUGAUACACCGCUAUGUGGAGCUGCUCGACAAGUACUUUGGCAGUGUAUGUGAACUGGAUAUAAUAUUCAACUUCGAGAAGGCAUACUUCAUACUGGACGAGCUGGUGCUCGGCGGUGAGCUGCAGGAGACCAGCAAGAAGAACGUCCUGAAGGCCAUCGCUGCACAGGAUCUGCUCCAAGAGGUCAGUAGCCAGGAUAAUGAGCUUGUCUAAUUAACUAGACUAAUUAAUAUACACACCUAUUUAUUUGUGGCUUUACCAAAUAUUUAAAAUUUACAUUUACAUAGUACAUUUUUGCUAGUUAAUUGUUCUUAUGUAUUAAUUUUGGCCACGGCGGCUAUUCUCAUUUAACGAGAUAAGCCAGUGCAAGAGCAUUUGCGCAGACACAGGUGCACUCCCUAUUCCUUCACUCUCAUAACCCGAUGGGACGGCAAUCCGACACAAUCCGAAAGAGAUAGUUAAGCAUUCUACAUUCCAAUGAUAACUGAAAUAUUGGUGAACCACAAAGAAGUUGGUGUGUAUCGUACAGUACCUAUUGUUAGAGAGAGAAGGUCCUAUGUCAUUAGACUGGGGCUUACAGGUUUAUAUGUGCAAUACCCAUUAGGGAAUAUUUUAAAUUUACACUAUUUUAGCUACAAAGGUUAUUAAGUUACUCAAUAUUUAAUAUUUUGCCUCUGAACAAAUGUGUUGUGGUUAAGUCAUCAAGCUACGCCUUUAUUAUGAAACCUCGAUUAUUUAGCAUAUUAUAUUAUAAGAAACAGUUAUUAUGUAGUUCCUAAAAUAUCCAAUUGAUGUUUUUGCAUAGUGGAUAUCAGCAACCAGUGAUUAAUUUUGUUCCUUUAAGAUUGUUCAAUUAUUAUUCUAAUCAGUAAUUUACAGAGUCAAAUAUGAAUAGUUUAUUUAUUACAAUGAGUGAAAUAAGAUUAUAAUUAGUUAGCCUUUUCCAUCAGAUUCUAAAAGUUAAUUAAUUAAAUACUCACAAUAUAGAACUGCCGUAUACAUAGCUAGUUGCAACACAUGUAGAUGUUUUUAUAUAGAUAUAUUAAAUGAAUAAAGUAUAUGAGUAAACUAGGUAUAUAAAGUGGACCAGUUGAUAGGACAGUGGCCUCGGUAGUGCCUUUUGAUUAUGUACUAGAUAUUAACACAAAUGUCCGCGAGUAGGAGCACUUGCCUUUUAGAUUAAACUUCAAAGAAGCACUUACACAUAUCAAUCUCUUGAACACCUGAAAACGUAUUUAUUUCAUGUUGCCAAAGAAUAAAAUGGGAAAUUCAGAAAUUGAAUUCGAAAAGUGUAACGUUAAAUGCGCAAAAUCCCCGUCACCAAAUUCAGAGAUAUUUAUUUUUCUUCGAAUGGUAAGUUGUAAUAAUUUCUUGCAUCUGUGGUGACGCUUUUUGGGCGAACUUGCCAUCGGCGGAUUCUGAUCAUUUUCAGGUUUUGCGUAUUUAACGUUAUACUUUAUGCCUUUUUAUCAAAAUCUGCAUAAUGCAAAAUGAAAUAAAAAUGUUUUUAGAUUUUUCUCUACAUAUCAAAAAUGAUAUUAAAAGCUAACUUUCUUAAAAUCCUGCUAAUACUGCAAAGGACAAACAAUAAUAUAAAAUUAAGAAAUGCUAAGCCUAAAAUGCAAAUAUAUAAGAAAAUAUUAUUAUAAAAGUUAGUCAAUUUAAAUGUUAACCAAUUUAAGUACUGUUAAUGAUAUUAAAAACAUAAUACUCUUUAUUUAACAACGAAAGAACUCUCCGAUUUACACGAACAUAGACUUACAAAUCUCAUAAAAUAGCCGCGUGUGUUAAGCUAGACUAGUCUAGUCAAAAGUGUGGUGCAGUCGGCGAUAUUAAUUUGCUCAUUGAUUUAUUUAAAAAAAUAUUCCGUAUGUGUAUGUCUGGCCGAAAAACAUAGAUGUAUCUUAACUUGGUUUGGGACACAUCUAUUGUUAAGUAUAACUAUAUAACUUCUAUUUAUCUUGCACUGUGUUACAUAUUAACUUUUCAUUAGUAUAUAUUUUUUAUGAAUAUAUAUAAUACCAAGUCAAAAUAAAGCAUUUACGGGUCCUUAAUAAUUAAUAUCUUGAUCUCUGGGUUCACUUCUAUCCACAACAUAAAUGUCAGUUUUCUGAAAACACUAGUUUACUAUGAAUUUUCAAAGUAAAUUAUUGCUUCAAGAAAACUGACAUUUAUGCAGUUGGUGAACUUGGGUCUUAGGACUUGUUAUUAACAUUUCGCCGACUGCGUCCCCACGAUGUGCUUACAAACUGUACUUCCACUGCACUCUGCUAAUAUUCUGGUUUGUUUCGGUGUGAACUGCAUGCAUUGGUGGCGGUCAGGACCUCAACGACGGAUUGUUACACUGAUGUCGCACAACCGCGGACUAUACAAUAAGCUACUUUAUUCUCUGUGUUUUUAGAGCUUUUAUUGCAUGCUGCUUAUUUAUUUUUUUACCUAUAUUUAUAUAAGCUAUAUUUUAUUUAAGUAUGUAGCUAGCGUUUUCUUCAAACUCUUUUUUAGCUACUCUAGCAUGGCUAUAUACUCAGCGUUAUUACAUUUACUAUCACACACUCUCAGUAUAUAAUACAUACAGAAUUCUCAGUAAAUCAUAAUUAAUCUCGAUGGUAGAUCUUUCAUGCGAUUUAAUGUAUUGUUAGUAGAUAGGGAAACAGGGCGUCAUUAUAGUUAGUUAUUAUAAUAGUUUAUCUGUAUAUCGUUGCUUCAUAUAUGUGUAGUUAAACUUUAUGAUUAUCACAUUGUAUCUGGACACUGCUUUACUUGUGCUUCUUCACGUUAAAACAACACCGUAUGAUUGUGAAAUUUAAAUAUUCCUCAUAAUGAGAGUUGACAAAUAUAUUGCUCAAACAUUGACUUUAAUCACUCAUUUUCUCAGUAAUUAUUAACUUCUUAAUCAGGGUGAUAUCUUUUGUAUUUUAACAUAUGGUAACAUUUACAUUUGUAAAUCAGUGUCCUCUUGGUUAUGGUCUGGCUGUUCAUGCAUUUAUUGUAAUGGGUUGUCGAAAUACAUUUUAAAAACAAA